GCCACGGUGGUCUAGCGGUUAGAACGCUGGCCUUGUAAUCCUGGGGUCUCUGGUUCGAUUCCCGGCGGUGCCC
Molecule: non-coding RNA, 73 nt
Organism: Zootermopsis nevadensis
Lineage: Eukaryota; Metazoa; Arthropoda; Insecta; Blattodea; Termopsidae
Source: Rfam